UACGAAGGUGGCAAGCGUUGUUCGGAUUCACUGGGCGUACAGGGAGCGUAGGCGGUUGGGUAAGCCCUCCGUGAAAUCUCCGGGCCUAACCCGGAAAGUGCAGAGGGGACUGCUCAGCUAGAGGAUGGGAGAGGAGCGCGGAAUUCCCGGUGUAGCGGUGAAAUGCGUAGAGAUCGGGAGGAAGGCCGGUGGCGAAGGCGGCGCUCUGGAACAUUUCUGACGCUGAGGCUCGAAAGCGUGGGGAGCAAACAGGAUUAGAUACCCUGGUAGUCCACGCCUUAAACUAUGGAUACUAAGUGUCGGCGGUUUACCGCCGGUGCCGCAGCUAACGCAAUAAGUAUCCCGCCUGGGAAGUACGGCCGCAAGGUUGAA
RNAcentral lists this ribosomal RNA (372 nucleotides) under uncultured bacterium. RNAcentral's name for it is "bacterial SSU rRNA". It matches the Rfam family "Bacterial small subunit ribosomal RNA", at positions 524 to 898 of the family's 1533-position model. The record is from RNAcentral.